RNAcentral lists this ribosomal RNA (627 nucleotides) under Triticum aestivum (bread wheat). RNAcentral describes it as "partial small subunit ribosomal RNA". The record is from RNAcentral. Lineage: Eukaryota; Viridiplantae; Streptophyta; Magnoliopsida; Poales; Poaceae.
AUGAUUGACACAAACUGCCCAAUUAUGAGCUGGAACGUACGAGGGCUCAACUCACCGGCCUGGCGAGCAGUAGUGAACGAGACGGCGGAGACACACAAGCUCGCUCUUCUCUGUCUCCAAGAGACAAAGAUCGGUGAAUGGAGCAGAUCAUUAGUAAGGGAGGUGUGCGGAGCUAGACUAGCUGACUGUGUCGUCCUCCCGGCCACGGGCACUAGGGGAGGUGCGGCGAUCUUCUGGGACAGGAGCCGCGUAGAGGUGCAAUCCCACACCAUUGGACGCUUCUCCAUCACAGCCAAGAUCACUCUCGCAGCAUCAACGACAUCAUUCUGGAUGACGACAGUGUAUGGGCCUGUCGACGACGGGAGGAAAGACGAUUUCCUUGCCGAGCUAGCACGAACAUCGCCGGCCCCAAGCGACCCCUGGCUCAUCAACGCCGACUUCAACCUAAUAUACAAAGCACGAGAUAAGAACAACAACAAUAUAAAUCAUAGGAUCAUGGGCAAGUUUCGGGCUGCGAUCGACAUAGCGGGGCUCGAGGAGAUCAAAUGCAAAAAUAGAAAGUUCACGUGGAGCAACGAACGCGCGUCUCCAACCCUAGUUAGCAUAGACAAGUUCUUCCGCAAUUGA